RNAcentral lists this ribosomal RNA (927 nucleotides) under uncultured organism. RNAcentral's name for it is "bacterial SSU rRNA". It matches the Rfam family "Bacterial small subunit ribosomal RNA", at positions 57 to 979 of the family's 1533-position model. The record is from RNAcentral.
GCAAGUCGAGCGAGAAAGGUCCUUUCGGGGACUGAGUAGAGCGGCGCACGGGUGAGUAACGCGUGGGUAUCUGCCCGGGAGAUCGGGAUAACAGUGGGAAACCGCUGCUAAUACCGGAUACGUCUGACAAGAGAAAGGUGGCCUCUGAUUCAAGCUGCCGCUCUCGGAUGAGCCCGCGUCCCAUUAGCUUGUUGGUGGGGUAACGGCCUACCAAGGCUCCGAUGGGUAGCUGGUCUGAGAGGAUGAUCAGCCACACUGGGACUGGAACACGGCCCAGACUCCUACGGGAGGCAGCAGUGGGGAAUAUUGCGCAAUGGGCGAAAGCCUGACGCAGCGACGCCGCGUGAGGGAUGAAGGCCUUCGGGUCGUAAACCUCUGUCAGGAGGGAAGAACCGUCUGGGACUUAACAGGUUCCGGGCCUGACGGUACCUCCAGAGGAAGCACCGGCUAACUCCGUGCCAGCAGCCGCGGUAAUACGGAGGGUGCGAGCGUUAAUCGGAAUCACUGGGCGUAAAGCGCGCGUAGGCGGCUUGCCAAGUCGGAUGUGAAAGCCCUCGGCUCAACCGGGGAACUGCAUUCGAAACUGGCAGGCUGGAGUCCCGGAGAGGGUGGCGGAAUUCCCGGUGUAGGAGUGAAAUCCGUAGAUAUCGGGAGGAACACCAGUGGCGAAGGCGGCCACCUGGACGGUGACUGACGCUGAGGUGCGAAAGCGUGGGGAGCAAACAGGAUUAGAUACCCUGGUAGUCCACGCUGUAAACGAUGGAUGCUAGGUGUCGGGGGUAUUCCUUCGGUGCCGCAGUAAACGCGAUAAGCAUCCCGCCUGGGGAGUACGGUCGCAAGGCUGAAACUNCAAGAAAUUGACGGGGGCCCGCACAAGCGGUGGAGUAUGUGGUUUAAUUCGAUGCAACGCGAAGAACCUUACCUGGG